UUAAAUAAGUACAGUGAGCUCAGAAACAAAGUGCUGGAGCUGGAGAGGUGGCUGAGCAGCAAAGGGCACUGGCUGCUUUUCCAAAGGACCAGUGCUCACUGCACAGCACCCACAAGUGCUGAGGGAAGGCGCACUGUCUGACAGGCUGCCCUGAAAAGUCUUCUCUACUGAGAUGCAGCUGUGGAAACCUUUGUACCAAGCUCUUGCUUGCUUCACUUUUCAACAUUGGUUAUUCUACUCCUUCCAAAACUGUAACUUUAAACUUCCAAGAAAACUGAACAAACCAGUGAGCAGUUUCUCCGGCUGCCUCAUCUACUCCACUGGCAUUAUUACAGCGUACACUGCUAAGGUGCAUUCAUCUUAACUGAUCAGCCAUCAUGAGUGCAUUACUGUACCUAACGUGUACGCUGCACUAGGGCUCAUUCUUGUUCCCACGAGUUUGCCUCAAAU
This 450-nucleotide long non-coding RNA is filed under the name Mus musculus (house mouse). RNAcentral describes it as "predicted gene, 48689". The record is from RNAcentral. Lineage: Eukaryota; Metazoa; Chordata; Mammalia; Rodentia; Muridae.